RNAcentral lists this ribosomal RNA (440 nucleotides) under uncultured bacterium. Its description in RNAcentral is "partial 16S ribosomal RNA". It matches the Rfam family "Bacterial small subunit ribosomal RNA", at positions 338 to 795 of the family's 1533-position model. The record is from RNAcentral.
CCUACGGGGGGCAGCAGUGGGGGAUAUUGCACAAUGGGGGGAACCCUGAUACAGCGACGCCGCGUGGGUGAAGAAGCGCCUCGGCGCGUAAAGCCCUGUCAGCAGGGAAGAAAAUGACGGUACCUGAAGAAGAAGCCCCGGCUAACUACGUGCCAGCAGCCGCGGUAAGACGUAGGGGGCAAGCGUUAUCCGGAUUUACUGGGUGUAAAGGGGGCGCAGACGGCGAUGCAAGCCAGGAGUGAAAGCCCGGGGCCCAACCCCGGGACUGCUGUUGAAACUGGGUGGCUAGAGUGAAGGAGGGGCAGGCGGAAUGCCUGGUGUAGCGGUGAAAUGCGUAGAUAUCAGGAGGAACACCGGUGGCGAAGGCGGCCUGCUGGACUGCAACUGACGUUGAGGCCCGAAAGCGUGGGGAGCAAACAGGAUUAGAUACCCUAGUAGUC